RNAcentral lists this ribosomal RNA (2595 nucleotides) under Triticum aestivum (bread wheat). RNAcentral's name for it is "partial small subunit ribosomal RNA". The record is from RNAcentral. Lineage: Eukaryota; Viridiplantae; Streptophyta; Magnoliopsida; Poales; Poaceae.
AUGGCGGCGGCACAUAAGUUGGUCGUGGAGGUCACAAGUGCUCAGGGCCUGAUGCCCAAGGAUGGGCAAGGCUCUUCGAGCGCCUAUGUCGAGCUCUGCUUCGACGGCCAGCGGUUCCGCACCGCCACCAAGGGGAAGGAUCUGAACCCAGUGUGGAACGAGCGCUUCUACUUCGACGUCUCCGACCCAUCGCUUCUUCCCGAGCUAGCUCUUGAUGCAUAUGUAGUACACAGCAGAGUCAAAGAAUCCGAGGUCGUUGACCUUGGCAAGGUCAGAGUUGCCGGGGCCUCAUUCCUGCCCUUCGCUGAUGCCGCCGUGGUGCCAUAUGUGCUGAAGAAGCGCCGGCUGCUGUCGCAUGUGAAAGGCACAUUGGCCCUCAAAGUAUACAUCACCGAUGACACCUCCAUCACGGCUUCUAAUAACCUCGAAAGCAUAUUACGAAAUCAAAGUUCAACACCGCACAGCAUACCGCUGCUGCAUUUGAAAGAAAUCACAAAUAAUUUCUCCGAUGAGCGAGUGCUUGGCCGAGGUGGUUUUGGUGUGGUAUAUAGGGGUGUGCUGCAAAAUGGGGAAAUGAUUGCUGUGAAAAAGAUGAUGCCAUCAUUAUUGCCAGGCCCACAGAAGCAGUUUGAGAAUGAAGUUUAUCAUCUUAUGAAGCUCAAGCACCCCAAUAUAGUGCGAUGUAUAGGCUAUCGUUAUGAAAUACAAAAUGCGUGUGUAGAGUUCAAUGGGAAAUACGUUUUUGCUGAGCAGACGGAAAGGUUACUUUGCUUGGAGUAUCUUCACAAGAGAAGCCUUGAUAUGUAUCUAUCAGAUGAAUCUUCUGGACUUGACUGGAGCACACGCUACAAAAUAAUUAAGGGGAUUUCAUAUGGUUUAUGUCACCUCCAUGAGCAGAAUGAUAAGCCCAUUUUACACUUGGACCUAAAACCUGCCAACAUAUUGCUCGAUGACAGUAUGGAGCCGAAAAUUACAGACUUCGGUCUGUCAAGAUUGCUUGAUCAAGAACAAACUAUUUGCACUUCGUCUCGUGAUGGAACAUUCGGUUACAUGGCACCAGAAUUUUUACAUGGAGGUACUAUUACACCAAAGUCGGACAUAUUCAGUUUGGGUGUGAUAAUUAUGGAGAUAGUAACAGGACACAGGGACUACCCAGAUGUUACUCGAACAUCUUCAGAUGACUUUAUUGAGCUUGCACUUAAAAAAUGGAGAAAUAUGUUAGGGUGGGCACCAGGGUAUAGAUCUCUCGAAAUAGAAUUGCAGCAAGUAAAAACAUGCAUUCAAGUAGGUCUAAACUGCGUGAACCCUGAGCGCUCGGAAAGGCCUACAAUAACGGAAAUUAUCAAUAUGCUUCAAGGACCAAAAAUUAUUGAUUGCAGCAUUAGCCAUGCGACGACAUUACCCAUAUGUUCCAGAAGUGCUGAUUCAGUGGUAUCGAUUGAUUCUGAUGUGCUGAAAAGUUUAGCAUGGAGGAGGUUUUUCCUUAAAAAGAAGAAAUAUAUGCUUAAAAGUCUGCCAAAGCUAAGUCGGCAGGAGCUUGAAGUAGUAUGUGAAAGUUUUAGCAACGUUAUAGGCUCAACUCCGGGGACUUUGGUCUACAAAGGAACAAUGAAGGAUGGGCCUGAGGUUUCGGUUAUAUCAGUAUGUGUCUUGGAAUGUCAUUGGACUAGCCAGCAUGAACUCCUUUACCAGAACAAGGUUGUUGAUCUGGCAAGGCUGAACCAUGAGAACAUAGCAAAGUUUCUGGGGUAUUGCAGAGAAAAGGACCUGUUUUCGAGGAUGGUAGUCUUUGAAUAUGCAUCAAAUGGAACACUAUACGAGCAUUUACACCAUGGGGAGGCAUCCCAAUUAUGUUGGCUUAGGCGAAUGAAAAUAGCCAUCGGCAUCGCUCAAGGUUUAAGGUAUUUGCACACGGAGUUGCAGCCUCCAUUUCCUAUAUCAGGGCUGAACUCCAAUUCAGUUUAUGUUACAGAAGAUUUUACUCCGAAGCUGGUUUAUUUUGAAUGCUGGGAAAUCAUGUUUUCAAAGCAUGAGAAGGCGCUCGGCCAGUUAAAUGACAAAUCUGCUUUUCCAUGCCUCAAACAAAACUAUCCGUCUUUCCCAAGUCCGGACUCUGCAGAGGAUGAAAAUGCUGACAUGCAAAGCAAUAUAUUUGCUUUUGGAGUGAUUUUACUAGAGAUCAUCAGUGGGCGGCUUCCUUACUGCAAGGACAAGGGCCAUUUGGUUGACUGGGCUAAAGAGUACCUCCAGCAGCCCGGGGAGAUGUGGAAGCUGGUCGACCCCGAGCUGGCCAAUGUCCGGACCAAGGACCUGGCGGUGAUCUGCGGCGUGGUGAGAUGGUGCAUUGACCCUAUCUUGUCGAUGCGACCGAUGAUGCCGAUCAUUGCAGAAGCACUGGAGACCGGCAUCGACCUGUCUGCGGCCGGCAUCCUCAACGAGUCCUCCUCUCUGGCGUGCGCGGAGCUCGCUCUGUCGUUGUUCAACACGUUCAGACUUCAGUCCGGCUGUAGUAAAUGCAUAUACGAAAUCAUUGAGACGGAUCAUCCCCCCGUCUGUUUGAUUUGUGGUGGCACGCACCGCACUCGCAUACGGUAA